Molecule: RNA transcript, 1114 nt
Organism: Hibiscus syriacus
Lineage: Eukaryota; Viridiplantae; Streptophyta; Magnoliopsida; Malvales; Malvaceae
Gene name: 2-C-methyl-D-erythritol 4-phosphate cytidylyltransferase, chloroplastic
Exons: 13
Source: RefSeq, a predicted model, not a curated record
UUUAAGGUAAUCCAGGGAGGUAACAGACCGUGAAAGAUGAUGAGUCUUCUUCUCAUUAACGCUCCCACUUGCUGCAUUGCCACUCACCCUUUCCCAUCAAAACCCACCCAUGCUCCCCCUUUCUUUUCCCACCUUCAACUUACCUUCUCUUCUCCAAGGCAAAAAGUAGAUUUGAGAGGAAGGGCCAGAGUCCGUACUUGUGGGAUUAGGUGUUCGGAAAAAGUUGAUAAUGGUUCUGCAAUUGUGAAAGAAAAAAGCGUUUCAGUCAUUCUUUUAGCCGGAGGCCAAGGCAAAAGAAUGGGGGCAAGCAUGCCAAAGCAAUAUCUACCUCUUUUAGGACAACCAAUUGCUUUGUAUAGUUUAUAUACUUUCUCACGAAUGAUUGAAGUGAAAGAAAUUGUUGUGGUUUGUGAUCCAUCAUACAAAGACAUUUUUGAAGAAACCAAAGACAAAAUUAAUGUAGACCUUAAAUUCACGCUUCCUGGGAAGGAGAGACAGGAUUCUGUUUAUAGUGGGCUUCAGGCAGUUGAUUUGAAUUCUGAGCUUGUUUGCAUUCAUGAUUCUGCACGACCCUUGGUAACAUCUGAAGAUGUAGAAAAGGUUCUUAAAGAUGGUUGGCUGAUUGGAGCAGCAGUACUUGGGGUUCCUGUGAAAGCCACAAUUAAAGAGACAAAUACUGAUUCAUAUGUAGUGAAGACUCUGGACCGAAAAACACUAUGGGAAAUGCAGACCCCACAGGUUAUUAAGCCAGAGUUGCUGAGAAAAGGUUUCGAGCUUGUGAAUAGAGAAGGUCUUGAAGUGACGGAUGAUGUGUCCAUUGUGGAGCACCUUAAGCAUCCUGUAUAUGUAACUGAAGGAUCUUAUACCAACAUCAAGGUCACGACUCCCGAUGACUUGUUACUUGCAGAGAGAAUUCUGAAUAUGAAUUCGGCUGACCGUACUAAAUAACACAUUUAAACACUUUCUGAGGUCUCCCAAUUCCUCUGCUACAACUGAAUUUGGGUGCAUUUCAACAUUGGUUGCUAUAACUAGGAAAAAUGUAUUUUAGGUGGCGAGGAUAAAACUGUAUGUUAUACUUGGGCCUAAGAAAUUGUGCAGUAGAGGAAUAAUUUCU